UACGUAGGGGGCUAGCGUUGUCCGGAAUCAUUGGGCGUAAAGCGCGUGUAGGCGGUCCGGUAAGUCCGCUGUGAAAGUCGGGGGCUCAACCCUCGGAUGCCGGUGGAUACUGUCGGGCUUGAGUACGGAAGAGGCGAGUGGAAUUCCCGGUGUAGUGGUGGAAUGCGUAGAUAUCGGGAGGAACACCAGUGGCGAAGGCGGUUGCCUGGAGCUUUGCUGACGCUGAUGCGCGAAAGCGUGGGGAGCGAUCCGG
This 253-nucleotide ribosomal RNA is filed under the name uncultured bacterium. Its description in RNAcentral is "partial 16S ribosomal RNA". It matches the Rfam family "Bacterial small subunit ribosomal RNA", at positions 524 to 776 of the family's 1533-position model. The record is from RNAcentral.